Molecule: ribosomal RNA, 1052 nt
Filed under: Fictibacillus barbaricus
Lineage: Bacteria; Bacillati; Bacillota; Bacilli; Caryophanales; Fictibacillaceae
Description: bacterial SSU rRNA
Rfam family: Bacterial small subunit ribosomal RNA
Source: RNAcentral
GCCCUUGGGCGGCGUGCUAUACAUGCAAGUCGAGCGAAUGACGAGGAGCUUGCUCCUCUGAUUUAGCGGCGGACGGGUGAGUAACACGUGGGUAAUCUGCCUGUAAGACGGGGAUAACUCCGGGAAACCGGGGCUAAUACCGGAUAAUAAGAAGAAACGCAUGUUUCUUUUUUGAAAGUCGGUUUCGGCUGACACUUACAGAUGAGCCCGCGGCGCAUUAGCUAGUUGGUGAGGUAACGGCUCACCAAGGCGACGAUGCGUAGCCGACCUGAGAGGGUGAUCGGCCACACUGGGACUGAGACACGGCCCAGACUCCUACGGGAGGCAGCAGUAGGGAAUCUUCGGCAAUGGGCGAAAGCCUGACCGAGCAACGCCGCGUGAGCGAUGAAGGCCUUCGGGUCGUAAAGCUCUGUUGUUAGAGAAGAACAAGUACGAGAGUAACUGCUCGUACCUUGACGGUACCUAACCAGAAAGCCACGGCUAACUACGUGCCAGCAGCCGCGGUAAUACGUAGGUGGCAAGCGUUAUCCGGAAUUAUUGGGCGUAAAGCGCGCGCAGGCGGUCUCUUAAGUCUGAUGUGAAAGCCCACGGCUCAACCGUGGAGGGUCAUUGGAAACUGGGAGACUUGAGUGCAGGAGAGAAAAGUGGAAUUCCACGUGUAGCGGUGAAAUGCGUAGAGAUGUGGAGGAACACCAGUGGCGAAGGCGGCUUUUUGGCCUGUAACUGACGCUGAGGCGCGAAAGCGUGGGGAGCAAACAGGAUUAGAUACCCUGGUAGUCCACGCCGUAAACGAUGAGUGCUAGGUGUUGGGGGGUUCCACCCUCAGUGCUGAAGUUAACACAUUAAGCACUCCGCCUGGGGAGUACGACCGCAAGGUUGAAACUCAAAGGAAUUGACGGGGGCCCGCACAAGCAGUGGAGCAUGUGGUUUAAUUCGAAGCAACGCGAGAACCUUACCAGGUCUGACAUCCUCUGACCACUCUAGAGAUAGAGCUUUCCCCUUCGGGGACAGAGUGACAGGUGGUGCAUGGUUGUCGUCAGCUCGUGUCGUGA